UCAGUGUCUUCUGAACUGAGAGGCCCAGAACUGGACACAGCACUCAAGGUGUGGCCUCACCAGUGCUGAGUACAGGAGAAGAAUCAUUGUCUUUGAAGACAUUCCUUGUCAAUGAGAGAAAACACUCAUAUCACCAAGUGGAAGAUUGCUACAGGUUGAAAAAAGAGGAGAUUUGCUUGCUUAACAGUAGCUGUAUAGGAACAGAUUCCCUGCUUAGGGAACAGGUCAGGCUGUUUUGAUACUGCUUCUCUUUGGGAAAUGCACAGUGCAAUGGGAACGUGUGUGCUACAGAACUCCAUGAGGCUGGGGCUACUUUUAACUCUGCCAGGACAUCCCCUUAACUGGGAAGAUGCAAAAGUAUGGGCCAGACCAAAGCAGCUGGACCACACUCCCUGCUGAAUGUGUACCAGCAAGCCGUGUGCCUUCUUCUGAAGGCAAGGAGCAGAAAGUAGAAAAAUGGGAAAGCAGCUUCGAAGCCCAAACCACUGAAAGAGACAGACUUAAGUUUCAUUGGAAGAGUGAUGAGGAAAAGGAAGAAGUGUGUGUUACUGCACAAUUCAGAGAGCUCCACUGAAGACAGCCUGUCUGAGGCACAACUCCCUCCUUCAUUUUAAUGUUCUCAUGUGGGCAUCUCAGCAUAUUCUGUUAUAGACUAUCCCCAUGUAUUACAUGAAGUAAAUACAGGAUGAUUAGCUAGCAAAUUGAAUAUUCCAAGUACUGCAACAAUGAGCUCAAAGAAGACCUGAAUAUGUUGCAUCUACUGAACUUUCUUUAGCUCCUGAGGCUCUAUUUUUGUGCUCAAUAUUGCAACUGAACUUCACAAACCAUGACACCACACUAAACAAGCUCGAAUGUGUGAUUUUUAAACAGCUGAAGAUGAAGAAUUACCAUUUUUAACAGCUAUUACUAAGUAUCCCUUAUGGCACUAGAGAUGAAAUCCCCACACUUUCCAAAUGCAAGCUUAGGCCAACUCUUCUCAGUGGUUUUCUGCAUGCAUCUGCAUGGCACAGAGAAGCAUUAAGCCAUGAGGUGUUUAAUAGGCAACAGUUCUGCUGCUGCAGGUGUCCCACUGCAAACUGUUUGCUCCCCAAGAAGAGACUGCAGCCCAACAGGCAGAAAUUCUUGCAUUUCAGAAGUAUCACUAGAAAUUUAAGGUUAAUAUAGUAGCUAGUCCAUAAAACCUAAAAGCCAUGUGCACAUUCCAGAGAUUGCCAUUUUCAGCUGAAAAAUAUGACCUGCCUGGAAAUAAAGUGGACAUUUAGUCAAAAAUUUCA
Molecule: long non-coding RNA, 1274 nt
Organism: Lonchura striata (white-rumped munia)
Lineage: Eukaryota; Metazoa; Chordata; Aves; Passeriformes; Estrildidae
Source: Ensembl